Molecule: long non-coding RNA, 2476 nt
Organism: Scylla paramamosain (green mud crab)
Lineage: Eukaryota; Metazoa; Arthropoda; Malacostraca; Decapoda; Portunidae
Exons: 2
Source: RefSeq, a predicted model, not a curated record
AUAUAUAUAUAUAUAUAUAAAAGGAAACACAAUUUUCCUCCACAUCAAGUUGUCAUCAAAACUUGCUCCAUUCAUUCCAUUGCCAAACUGAGACCAUGUACCCUGACACAUUAACAAAAAAAUAAAUAAAUAAAAAAAAUAAAAAAAUCCCUUCACCUUUCUCUACUGAGAGAGAGAGAGAGAGAGAGAGAGAGAGAGAGAGAGAGAGAGAGAGAGAGAGAGAGAGAGAGAGAGAGAGAGAGAGAGAGAGAGAGAGAGAGAAUGGUGGCCAGAGUAAGACGAAGGAGAAAGCAAGUUAAAGAAAACAAAUGGAAAGUGAGAGAAAAGCAAGAAAAUACAGAUGAAAAGAAAAUCUGCGGUAAAAAUGCACCGCUGAAACAAAAACGAAUAAGAAAGUGUAAUGAAACGAUGAGAUAAUUUUGUGUUUUUGUGAGCCCGCAAUUAUGCUGCACCCACCCUCUACCACUACUACCACUACUACUACUACUCCUACCACUGCAAUUUAUGAGCAGUAGGUGACAGAAACGAAGAAGCGCAAACACCUGGAGAUAGGUGAGCUUGAUAGGAAGUUACAAGUAGAAUAUGAAGCAAAACUCAAAGACUCACUGAGAGAACUUGAGAGGACUGUGAAGAACAACUCAAGAACAUUACGCCCUAAGUGGACGACCUGUACGAGGCCAAGGUGACCCAUGAACUACCUCUAACAAUGGUGAUGAAGAACCAGAAGUGGGUUGUAGGUGACGAGAUAACUAUCCCAGGUCAUCCCGGAAGUGGCGAGGUGACCCCAUACAGCUCCACAAGGUCGUGGAGGACACCAGACAUAGCCACGUGGUCGCCUACACUCAGCCAUCCACCUCACCUGCCCCAGACUGCUACCCGGACACCAUCCAGCCACAAGAACCCAGAUAAGCACUUCCGGGGUCCUUGGUUGUGGUUAGCUAGCUAGUUUGUUUAGGGGUCACUUGCUGUACAUAGGAACCCUCCUCGGUCUGAUGCUAUUUUUUUUAUUUUUAUUUUUGAGGUGUAACGCUGUGCUCUACGUGAGAGUGAUAGUGUUUAUCUUUAUUUAUUUAUUUUUUUUCCUGAAGACCAGUUCUGAUGUUAUCUUGGAGGUUAACGGAGAAGAGUUCUUCACAACUGUGUUUGUUGUUUUAUUUUAUUUUUUUAUUGGUCACUUUUUGUUUUUUGUUGUGAUUGUUAUUAAUUUUAUUUAUUUGUAUUGAAAUAUGUGAGUGUGAAUGCAGCACAAUAUAUAAAGGUGUGCAUUCCAGAGUGAAAGGAAGGCGUGCACAGGGUAGAGUGCACAGGAUGCAGUGCCUUGUUUUUAUCACCAGACCUUGAUUGACUGAAGCAAAUGAAAACUUUGGUGUGAGUACCUUACAAAGACACUUGACAAUACUAAUGUCACCUCACCUCGUGGUUUCACCUUAAACCUACAAACAUUGGCUGGACACAAGGUCAUAGAAAUAAUUUAUUCUCAUUUAUUCUCAUCUUUACAAAUUACAGUCUUUACACAUCAAAGUAACUAAUCACCUUUAUUCAUCCACUUGAGGGGGUUGAAGGAUCGCUAAUCCCAUAUUAAAUUGCCUGUGUUCAACUCGCCUCUCCUCCCUCAUUUAUUGACCAAUUCAUUUAAAAAAUAUUUUGAUCAGGAAGGUUGCAAGAAGGAUGUCUGCUAUCUUUUUUUUUUUUGUACGAUAAGUUUUUUUUUCAAUGAAAAAGUAAAAAAAAAACUGUGUCAAAUAUUUACUUUCAAAUAUUUGUCAGAAAUCAAAAUCAGUUACAAACAAAAAUGACGACAGCAGAAUUUGUUCGCCUCUCACAGCUGGAUAAGCCGCAAUGGCCCAUCUGUGUGUAACACUAAUAACAACGGAGAUCAUUUUUAUAUGCCAAAAUCCGCCAUUUUAAGUUAUGUCAAAGUUUAAGGGAUGACUAUAAUACACCUAUUGCAGCUAAGGACUUGAAAUUCACAUGAUAUAUACAUCACAAUAUGUUGAAAAACAGAUAUAGAUUAAUUUAGUUACUACGAUCGGUUUUGUACAUAGGCCUAAAGUAAUUCAUGAUUUCACCCUUAAUUACCCGGGGGGGAGGGGGGAAGGCGGGUGAAAACAAUUUUUGUUAUAUUUCGACUUUUAGAUCAAAACCAGUGUUUAACUGUUUGAAAUAAAUAAAAUAUUAAUGCAAAAGAUAUCUAAUGCAGACACAUUGACUAUUUCCUAGAUUUACGGAAAAAUAUUUAUCUCAUUUUUCGUAUAUAAAUUUGAAAAAAAUAGUUAGACCUAAAAUUACGUACUCUCUAAUGUUGUACGCAGCAAAAGAACCAGAGAUAUUCAUAGGAGACUGAGGAAGAACGGGUACGCCAGAAAGAAAAAAACAAAAAAAGUCAUGUCUCGCAGCGGGCGAAACCGUGAAAUUUCAUAACAGAAGACCUCAUUACAUUAGGGGAUAUAUAUAUAUAUAUAUAUAUAUAUAUAUA